CAGCAGCCCAACUCCUGAGAGCCCUGGGCCCUGUGGAACUUGCCCUCACUAGCAUCCUGACCUUGCUGGCGCUGGGCUCCAUUGCCAUCUUCCUGGAGGAUGCCGUCUACCUGUACAAGAACACCCUUUGCCCCAUCAAGAGGCGGACUCUGCUCUGGAAGAGCUCGGCACCCACGGUGAGGCCCCCGGGGCUGCCCUGUGGGGGGAACUGAAAAGAAGGCAGAGACCAAGGUGAGAAUUCCUCUAAACUCAGCACGUCACUUCGGCAAAGAGUGUCCUGCCACGACCCGCGGAGGGCCGAGGUUUGCAGGCCGACCUCCCCUUGCAGUUAGGAUCCUCUGCUUGGAAGGCUGUGCAGUGUUUGCAUUCUAAGGGCUGCGGAGACAGCUGGAGAUCUGCUCAGCCCACCAGCCGCCUCAUCCUUGCUCCCCGCUACAGUGUUGCCACUUGAAGAGCUUCCUUCAGUGGUUCCUCAGAGUGUGGGGGAAAGUCUCAUUCCACAGGGUCACACUCAGCUCCACCCUUACGCUGAGGCUUUUGAAACACCCUCCCACAGGUCCUUGGUUUGCUUGACUUAAUUAGUGCUUUUUCCAGCUGGCAACGUUUAAGGAACGCUGCCUCGAAUGUGUAGGUUUUGCCUCCUGUGUCCUUGCCGCAAAAGGCUUCCGGAGCCUCAGGGUCUCCCUCCCGCCCUCACCUGCUCCUGCCCCUUCUGAGCAGGUGGUGUCUGUGCUGUGCUGCUUUGGUCUCUGGAUCCCUCGUUCCCUGGUGCUGGUGGAAAUGACCAUCACCUCGUGAGUGCCCUGCCUCGCCCCACCUCCAAGGGCCCCUCUGCUCCCGCUCACCAGGACUCGAGUCCGUGUCCUUGAUCCCAGCUGACCAUGUAUCUGGCCCUUCCCAGCUUGUGCUAGUUCCGGGCUCUUGCGCUCCUGGCUCUGCUCAGGGAAUGCCUCAUUUUGGCAUCUGGCACAUUCCUCAGCCAGCCCUCUGUUCCCACAGUCUGAAAUUCCCCUUCUCCCAGUCCUGUGGGCCGUCUCCUCUCCCUCGCCCCUCUUGGGUCACACACCCAGAACGCCCAGCCCUAGCUCUGCUCCUCAGUAAGCCCCACCUCUCCCUGCUGUCUUUCUCUCUGGCAGCAGACCUCGUAGGCCCUCUUCUCUCCCCACCCCAGGUUUUAUGCCGUGUGCUUUUACCUGCUGAUGCUGGUCAUGGUGGAAGGCUUUGGGGGGAAGGAGGCAGUGCUGAGGACGCUGAGGGACACCCCGAUGAUGGUCCACACAGGCCCCUGCUGCUGCUGCUGCCCCUGCUGUCCACGGCUGCUGCUCACCAGGAAGAAGCUUCAGCUGCUGAUGUUGGGCCCUUUCCAAUACGCCUUCUUGAAGAUAACGCUGACCCUGGUGGGCCUGUUUCUCGUCCCCGACGGCAUCUAUGACCCAGCAGACAUUUCUGAGGGGAGCACAGCUCUAUGGAUCAACACUUUCCUUGGCGUGUCCACACUGCUGGCUCUCUGGACCCUGGGCAUCAUUUCCCGUCAAGCCAGGCUACACCUGGGUGAGCAGAACAUGGGAGCCAAAUUUGCUCUGUUCCAGGCAUAAUGACUGCCCUACAGUUUAACAGAGUUCUCCUCAUCCUGACUGCCCUACAGCCCUCCAUCUUCUCAGUCUUGGCCAACGGUGGGCAGAUUGCUUGUUCGCCUCCCUAUUCCUCUAAAACCAGUGAUGAAUUGCCACCUCCUCAUACUGGAGACUUUUCUAAUGACUGUGCUGACACGAAUGUACUACCGAAGGAAAGACCACAAGGUUGGGUAUGAAACUUUCUCUUCUCCAGACCUGGACUUGAACCUCAAAGCCUAAGGUGGAUGGCUUGGACAAUGAAAGGAUGCUGUACUCAUUAGAAUACAAGAUUCCUUUACUGUCCCUCAACCUUGACCAAAUGGGAAGCAUUCCCCCUUGUCAACACAAGCUGGCAGAUACAUUUGACUCUACAGAUGAAGGUGAACAAUGUUAGAAUAAAAUUGCUUUGGAUCUUGCCUGGAAGGUGUUUUAAGUUUUGUAAUAAACAAGAUGAUGUCUGAAA
This 2076-nucleotide long non-coding RNA is filed under the name Homo sapiens (human). RNAcentral's name for it is "long non-coding RNA NONHSAT195298.1". The record is from RNAcentral. Lineage: Eukaryota; Metazoa; Chordata; Mammalia; Primates; Hominidae.